This 484-nucleotide ribosomal RNA is filed under the name uncultured bacterium. RNAcentral describes it as "partial 16S ribosomal RNA". It matches the Rfam family "Bacterial small subunit ribosomal RNA", at positions 28 to 507 of the family's 1533-position model. The record is from RNAcentral.
GACGAACGCUGGCGGCGUGCCUAACACAUGCAAGUCGAACGGAAAGGCCGUGCUUUUGUGUGGUGCUCGCGGGGCGAGCGGGUGAGUAACCCGUGAGUAUCCCGCCCUUGACUUUGGGAUAACUUCAGAAAGCUGGUGCUAACACCGGAGAGCAGCUGCUGCUGCAGGGUGGGGGUUGGACAUCUCCCGCUCAGGUGAAUCUAGGUCGGAUUUGUUAGUUGGUGGGGUAAAUGGCGACCAAGGCGGCGAUUCGCAACUGGUCUGAGAGGAUGAGCAGUCACACUGGAACUGAGACACGGCCCAGACUCCUACGGGAGGCAGCAGUGGGGAAUAUUGGACAAUGGGCGAAAGCCUGAUCCAGCCAUGCCGCGUGUGUGAAGAAGGUCUUCGGAUUGGAAAGCACGUUAAGUGGGGAGGAAGGGCAGUAAGUUAAUACCGUGCUGUUUUGACGUUACCAACAGAAUAAGCACCGGCUAACUUCGUG